Molecule: ribosomal RNA, 481 nt
Filed under: uncultured bacterium
Lineage: Bacteria
Description: bacterial SSU rRNA
Rfam family: Bacterial small subunit ribosomal RNA
Source: RNAcentral
GGCUGAGUAACGCGUGAGUAACUUGCCCUUUGGUGGGGUAUAGCCUCGAGAAAUUGAGGAUAAUCCCGCAUAAGAUCGGGGAAGGAUGAAAGCCUUCGGCGCCAGAGGAGAGGCUCGCGUCCUAUCAGGUAGUUGGUGGGGUAAAAGCUCACCAAGCCGAUGACGGGUAGCUGGUCUGAGAGGAUGACCAGCCAGAGGGGGACUGAGACACGGCCCCCACUCCUACGGGAGGCAGCAGCAGGGAAUCUUGGGCAAUGGGCGAAAGCCUGACUCAGCGACGUCGCGUGGGGGAAGAAGGCCCUUGGGCUGUAAACCCCUUUUCCAAGGGAAGAGCGGUACCUUGGGAAUAAGCCCCGGCUAACUACGUGCCAGCAGCCGCGGUAAUACGUAGGGGGCGAGCGUUACCCGGAAUUACUGGGCGUAAAGAGCGCGUAGGCGGCUGAGUAAGUCAUUUGUGAAAGCUCCCGGCUUAACUGGGAGA